Molecule: long non-coding RNA, 3531 nt
Organism: Grus americana (Whooping crane)
Lineage: Eukaryota; Metazoa; Chordata; Aves; Gruiformes; Gruidae
Exons: 6
Source: RefSeq, a predicted model, not a curated record
UAAAGUGUCACAAUGUGCUGUUUAUGGAGGAACAUGCACAGGGAUGAAAACAAGCAACUUUACAACAAUAACAGAUGAAACACAGCACCUGAGCACCAAGGUGAUGUUCACUGAAAUCAAAGUCAUCAGCUUUUCAAGGCAAGAACAGCCAUGCAUUUGUGCUAUACCUGUCCCAGAGAAACGCUAGUCCACAGUGAGCAUUCCCAUACAGUACGUAAUGCAGAUGUGUUCUUGGAGUUUGAAUGCGCUGAAGAAGGAAAGCCAGUAAUUUCUGAUAAGUACUCAGGUCACUGACUGCAGACUCUUCAGGCGCCAACUCCUCUGCAGCAGUACUAGACGCUGAUUACAAAUGUGACACGUUCUGCCAGCUGCAAGAAAAGACCUCUACAAAUCCCCCUGAAUUCAACAGUGAUAAACUGAGGCCAGCUAUGCAAAACUUCUGUCUGAGACAAGCCAAGGUCAAGUUCACACAAGAGGAAAGAAAUCCAAGACAAUCAAAGGGAAAAGUAAGACCAAAAAGAGGCCAUUGCAUGCUGAUGCUCUCAAAGACUGAUGAUGUUUCCUAUCCUAGCACAAGUACGACUGAAUGAAUUUAUGAGACUUCAAAGGCAAAAGUUUUCUUUCGAAAGUGUGGGCAAAGCUAGAGGAUCUUGCGCACAAGUAUGAGUAUGCAACUAUGCAAAACAAGCACUGGCAUCCGUCAUUUGCCAUUUCUAUUAACAAGUGCUCAGAAGUCUGGUCUGGGAGGCCUUGGAAGAUUCAGUGCGUGCAAACAGCCAAUAAGUAACAAGGGUGACAGUAAUUUCUAGGAACAUGCAAAGCUUCCCUCUGCUUCACCCCUUUUCAAGACAUGAUGAAAAGACUUUCAAGGCUUUAAAAUGAAUGUGUUUAAAAUGUCAGAGAAACUGGACUGCUGGAUCUGUUGGAUAUUUCAUUCCAAUAGGGGGUGUAGUCUUAUUUAUGCAUAAAGAAAUAUAAUCAGAGGAGAGUAGUUUUAUGUGUUUGUAUGAAUACAUAAACUGGAUCUCUUAGAAACUAGCCUUGCUAGCUUCUUGCAUUCUCUCCUCUAGUUUCCCUGUACUUGUCUGGAAUGGCCUCACAUCCCAGCUGUCCUUCAUCAGGUCUCUCUGCUUUCCCAAUAACAAUAUAUUGACAAAAACUUACUUUCUCUUGUCCUUCAACUCUUCAUCUUUGCCCAAGGCAGAACAACCAUUAGCCAAGAAGCAAGGGCACAACAUGUGGACCAGUACAUCAAACUAUAUUUAUUUUAUCUUUGCUUGGUAAACAUCAUUUUUGCUUCUCCUCUCUGCUGCCCCAUGCGCCAAAGAGGCAUCCUAAUUCAUGACAUUUGUGCAUGUAUCUGCUAGUGCAGAAGCCACAAAUAGCUCAGAAAUGAGCUCAGCCCCUCUGCUAAGCCUAUGGGGAGGAAGGAGCACUGGUAAAAAGGAAGUGCAGCUUGAAUUAUAGCUCUCCAUUUUGCUUGAUAAAACAUCACAGGAUAUGAGGCUAACAACUGAGUGGCCCUUUCUUUGUACAGUAAGCACGCAAGGUUGUGCUAGCAAGAUUAAUUUGUUUCCCAUUUGUCACCCUUUCAUCGCAGUGUGGGGGCUCUGAAUUGUUACAUAUCUUUAGGCACGAAGCUGGGCACGUGCAAACUAAGAGACCCAGAAAACCCCUGUUGAGCACUUUUGCUGCCCCUUCCUUCCCCCUGUCUUACCAGAAGCAAGCGAAUACUCACUGCUGCUGUCUGAUCCCACUUCUGCUCUCAGCCCCACAGCAGCGCUCACCAGGCACCCUGCCAGGGCAGCAGCAUCCCUGCAGGCAUCAGGCUGUCCUGCUGCGGUUACCUGGCAUGUUUGGGAAACUGCUUCAGGUACCUGGCUUCUGACAGCUAAUGCUCACCAAUUACAUUAUGUCUCACCGCUAAUCUACUGCUUGAUCUAUUUAUUUGUCCAUUUGCUGACUCAUCUCUUUUCCCAUUGAUACCUGACGUAUUAAAUAACUUAGCUAACUCUUUCACUGAUAUGCUGCUCUCUGCUACUUAUCUGCUGAAUCAAUUCAUUGCUACUUGCUUUUUGGUUCCUCUAGGUAGCUGACUUAGAUGGUAACUUUACUGAUUCCCUUCCUUUUAAACAGACAUUGUUGCCAACUCUGCUUCCUCAGUUAAUAAUUUCAUUUAAUUGUUGGUUUCUUUUGGUCAGCUGCUAAACUAUGCUCUUGACUGCUUGAGUCUCACCCUGCAAACUCACUACCCCGUACAUUUGCUCUCCUCUCAUCACCCCUGUAACAAUUUUCCUUUCUGUUACUCUCUGUCCCCCUUCUCCUUGGUCCUUCCUUUCCCAUACUUUCUUUCAUGUCAUCUGUCAUUCGUACUGUCUUUUCAUUUUCUCCCUUUGACUACCCGUACCACACCACACCCUUGACUACCAUUUUGCCACCCAAAGCAGUCCUUCCCCUCCUUGUAUCUGCCCAUUAUUUGUCAUCACCAUAUAUAAAGACAAUGCAAUUACAUAAAUUAUACUUGUACUUACACUUUAAAUAUAGGGUUUUGAUACUUGUAAUUGUCACCGAUCCACAGCACAGGUUGGAAAGUUUGCAAUGUGACCGGCAGCAACUGUACAAUACAGCUUAAUUAUUAAACCUGGACUGGAAUAGCAUUUGUAUGAAGCAGAAGAGCUGGAGGAUAAGAAGUAAAUAAAAGUAUAUGAAACUCUAGUAAUAAUAUACAGAAAAGCAAAGCAAAAGCUAAUUACUAGAGAUGAUGAAUAGAUCAUUUUAAACUUGUCAAGAUACCCUUUUGCACCUGGUCUGCAAAACAAGCAGCUUUUGCUUUUGCACUAAAAUAGAAAAUUGAAAGCAAUGAUGUUUUGCUCUCUGUUGUUUUUGUUUUGUUUUGGUUUGGUUUUUUAUUUUGAAUUUUCUUUGUCACUGAAUGUAAACAGGAGAAUGAUCAGGUUUGUCCCUCUUUUUCCAACCUCUGUGUAAUUUUGAAAAUGCUGAUAAGUUUUAAAAGUUACCCAGAGGAAAAAUAAAGGUGGCAAUCUUUCCACUUUGUAACUUCUCCAAAAGUGGUAGAAAAAUUUCAAAGUUAGGUAACCCAAUCUGUCAGAUUCUGAAGAAUACAAAAUUCAUUGUGAAAUUGGGUUUAUUUAACAAAAAUUCAGCAACUUAAAAAAAAUUACCAAAACUGUUUUGAAAUUUCAAAAAUUCCCCUUCUGAAAUUAUUGCUCCUUUUAUUUUUUUAAUUCUAUACUGCAAUACAGUAUUUAGAAAACUGUAGUCAAGCACCCUUUCAAACUUUUAAAAUUUUGAGUAACCUGCUGCAGUUUUAUUUAAAUUUUCAUUUCUAGAUAUUUCAAAACAGGCACGAUUUCCUCUCUUCUGGUGCCAAGGCAAAUUAUGAAAUCUCAGUAAUCUUUCCACAGUACAUUCCUUUUACAGAUCUAGUGAUGCAUAUGCUUUACAGGUCAUCUUUUUUGCCUUCCUUUAUUCCAAUGCAAAUUUAUAUUAUCUGAAAUAAAACCUGUAUUU